UCUGGAAGGCGAGAGAAGACAAUGGGCUUUCUAGGUGUAAGGGUGUAAAGUCCUGGCCGUGAGGGGCCAAAGUGAGAAAUCUUGGCAAGUAGGGAAUACUGAGAGCUGCAUCCUGGACUCAGGAAACAUUUUAAGGAGAACCCAGGAGGCAUACACCUGCGGGGGGGCGGGGAGAGAGAGAGAGAGAGAGAGAGAGAGAGAGAGAGAGAGAGAGAGAGAGAGAGAGAGAGAGAGAUUUAUCACAGACUCACCUGGAAUGCGGUUGCUUCCACACACAUGCAACAGGAACAGGACGCCUAGUCCCCUGAGGAGCUCCAUGGUGGAGCCUUUGUGCCCAACGCGGAGCCUGUAGCAAGAAGCACAGGAGGACUGAGUUAGAGACCAGGAAGCAAGGUAGUAGGGCAGAGGUGUGAGCGUGUGUGUGUGUGUGUGUGUGUGUGUGUGUGUGUGUGUGUGUGUGUGUGUGCGCGCGCUCUUUGGCCCCAUUUACUUUCCAGAUGGUAUCCAGUAUAAAAAGAGUGCCAGAGGCAGGGGACUGUUGGUGUUCCAGGACGAAGGGCGUAAAGUGACUUGGGCUUUUUCUUGUUCUCUUAGACAAGAAUACAGAAUGUACCUGGGGAGAAGGAUGGCAAAAGUCAGGAGCAACCUGGGGACUACUUGGUGCUCAGCAGAGGCGGGAGAAGGCUUACCUGUGUGCACCGGAGCUCAGCAGCCCGGAGUGGUGGAGAAGGCGAAGUGAAGGACAAGGACUUCGAGUCCGGUAAAGACGCUGAGAUUGCUGGUGCGGCCGGAUAGACCGUGGCAGGACUGGGUAGUUGCGUCGCGAGUGCCUGCAGAAGUCCGAUGAGGCUGGCUGACUCCAGGCAGUGGCUGGCUCGACUGAGGAUCCCUGGACCUUUUAAAGAGGCUCCCGCAUUCCUGGCCAAUGGGCAGGAAGCGGGGGGGGGGGAGUGCGGGGGGAGUGAGGGGGCGGGGGGGGGCACACGGAACGGGAGGGGGGAGGGGACGGGGGACGGGUUCCUCUCUCCGCCCCCUGCUGCCUGGCGCGAAGCUCGCCGGCUGAAAGUGAAGGGGAAGACUCCGAUCCCGCACAGGAGCCCUGGAACUUCUCAGAAAAAUAGGUCUCCGCCCACACAGCCUUGGCGUACUCAGCCCUUAGGAUCUUGCGCCACGCGAGCUGGAGACCUUCCGCCUGAGGGACCCCAGACAAGAUGCUCCUUUGGGGACCAACUAAGACCCUUUAGGGUAUCUUUCACUAAAGCCCGUCUCCUUGCAUACUUCGAUGAUGGAGACGCUUGGGGAUCGAGACAGUCUGGUUUAAAAAUAAAAGGGCAAAAGGUCGGACUUCUUAAAAGAAGCUGCCUCCUGGGUCUAUGCUGGUGGGUGGGGGAUCCCUUGUCAUCUAUACUUCGCGCUCCACUCCUGCCCCGCACGAUAGCCUUCCUUCUGACUCACUAAGGGUGGCAGUGCGGUGUUGCGCUGGAUCAGCAGGACGGUGCACCGAGGUCGCCUUCCCAUUCUCCCAACUCCAGAGUUCUUCCCCAGUUCUUCUGUGCUUCCCCAGAUGGCCGCUUGGGGGCGGUAUAUGUAUUCUGAUUUAGGGGAUCCUUGCGAAGUUUUUUAGCCGCGUUUUAAGAAAGCAAAUUUGUAUCUAGCACCCUCAAGGCAAACUGAAAUUAUGUUUUGAAAAACAGUUUUGUGACCACUCGUGUUUCUUAACGUGACUCCAGAUUGGAGAAUUUGCUGAACCACCUGGCUCCAGGAUCUUACACUAUUUACAGAACGGACCCAUAGAGUAAUAAAUUGCUCUCUGCCUAUUAUUUUA
Rattus norvegicus (Norway rat) is the source of this 1825-nucleotide non-coding RNA. NCBI's taxonomy places the organism in Eukaryota, Metazoa, Chordata, Mammalia, Rodentia, Muridae. The record is from RefSeq and is a predicted model, not a curated record.